UAAACUGGCGUGACAGGAGUUCCGGGAUUGUCCACAGCACGGUGAUGUGGAAGCCCUGGGGAGAGAAUGAUAAAGAAAGGGGAUGAGGAACAGCUCCACCCGGAAGAGCGGGCUUCCCUAGCAAAUGAAUCUGGAAGGGCGCAGGGGAGGGGGCACGGCGAGUUCAGAUGGACCGAGGCUGGAAGCUGACGCGGUUGGAGGGGGAUGGGUGUAGCUGUUGGCAGUGGCGCUGGGGUGGAAGUGUGUGGGGUCACAGAUGUGUAAGGGUGGGCGCGGAGCAGACCCCCGAAGGUCCCUGAGGUCAGGCUGAGGCAUUGGACCAAAUCCGUACAUAGGCAUUUCUCUGAACUGCGCGCCACCUUUUGAGUGCCAUCUGUUUCCGUCCAGGACUCUGAUACAACUAUCCAGUCCGCUGCAGGGACCGGUCACUGUGUCACAGGUUCUCCAGAGGGCCAGAACUAACAGGAUAUAUGUAUAUAUUGAAAGGGAGUAUAUUAGGGAGAACUGGCUGACAGGAUCAUCAGGCAAAGUCCCACUAUAGUCCAUCUGCAAGCUGAGGAAGGAAGAAGCCAGUCACGUCUC
Molecule: long non-coding RNA, 582 nt
Filed under: Homo sapiens (human)
Lineage: Eukaryota; Metazoa; Chordata; Mammalia; Primates; Hominidae
Description: non-protein coding LENG8-AS1:6
Source: RNAcentral